GGGUUUAGCUCAGCAGUAGAGUACGUGUUUGGCACACACGAGGCCCUGGGUUCAAUCCCCAGUAUAUCUC
Molecule: transfer RNA, 70 nt
Filed under: Camelus bactrianus (Bactrian camel)
Lineage: Eukaryota; Metazoa; Chordata; Mammalia; Artiodactyla; Camelidae
Also listed under: 2 other names
Rfam family: tRNA
About the family: Transfer RNA (tRNA) molecules are approximately 80 nucleotides in length. Their secondary structure includes four short double-helical elements and three loops (D, anti-codon, and T loops). Further hydrogen bonds mediate the characteristic L-shaped molecular structure. tRNAs have two regions of fundamental functional importance: the anti-codon, which is responsible for specific mRNA codon recognition, and the 3' end, to which the tRNAs corresponding amino acid is attached (by aminoacyl-tRNA synthetases). tRNAs cope with the degeneracy of the genetic code in two manners: having more than one tRNA (with a specific anti-codon) for a particular amino acid; and 'wobble' base-pairing, i.e. permitting non-standard base-pairing at the 3rd anti-codon position.
Source: Rfam by way of RNAcentral